RNAcentral lists this ribosomal RNA (490 nucleotides) under uncultured bacterium. RNAcentral describes it as "partial 16S ribosomal RNA". It matches the Rfam family "Bacterial small subunit ribosomal RNA", at positions 30 to 507 of the family's 1533-position model. The record is from RNAcentral.
AUUGAACGCUGGCGGCAGGCCUAACACAUGCAAGUCGAACGGUAACAGGAAGAAGCUUGCUUCUUUGCUGACGAGUGGCGGACGGGUGAGUAAUGUCUGGGAAACUGCCUGAUGUAGGGGGAUAACUACUGGAAACGGUAGCUAAUACCUCAUAACGUCUCCAGACCAAAGAGGGUGAGCUUCUUGCCUCUUUCCAUCAUAUGCUCCCAGCUGGUCUUAGCUAGUAGGUGGGGUAACGGCUCACCUAGGGGACGAUCCGUAGCUGGUGUGAGAGUAUGAGAGGCCACACUGGAACGGGGACGCGGACAAGAGGACUGAGGGAGGCAGCAGAGGGGAAAAGUGCACAGUAGGCGCAAGCAUGAUGCAGUCAGGCCGAGUGUAUGAAGAAGGCCUUCGGGUUGUAAAAUACUUUCAGCGGGGAGAAAGGGAGUAAAGUUAAUACCUUUGCUCAUUGACGUUAACGGCAGAAGAAGCACCGGCUAACUACGUG